Molecule: ribosomal RNA, 1175 nt
Filed under: Staphylococcus aureus M0437
Lineage: Bacteria; Bacillati; Bacillota; Bacilli; Caryophanales; Staphylococcaceae
Description: bacterial SSU rRNA
Rfam family: Bacterial small subunit ribosomal RNA
Source: RNAcentral
AGAGUUUGAUCCUGGCUCAGGAUGAACGCUGGCGGCGUGCCUAAUACAUGCAAGUCGAGCGAACGGACGAGAAGCUUGCUUCUCUGAUGUUAGCGGCGGACGGGUGAGUAACACGUGGAUAACCUACCUAUAAGACUGGGAUAACUUCGGGAAACCGGAGCUAAUACCGGAUAAUAUUUUGAACCGCAUGGUUCAAAAGUGAAAGACGGUCUUGCUGUCACUUAUAGAUGGAUCCGCGCUGCAUUAGCUAGUUGGUAAGGUAACGGCUUACCAAGGCAACGAUGCAUAGCCGACCUGAGAGGGUGAUCGGCCACACUGGAACUGAGACACGGUCCAGACUCCUACGGGAGGCAGCAGUAGGGAAUCUUCCGCAAUGGGCGAAAGCCUGACGGAGCAACGCCGCGUGAGUGAUGAAGGUCUUCGGAUCGUAAAACUCUGUUAUUAGGGAAGAACAUAUGUGUAAGUAACUGUGCACAUCUUGACGGUACCUAAUCAGAAAGCCACGGCUAACUACGUGCCAGCAGCCGCGGUAAUACGUAGGUGGCAAGCGUUAUCCGGAAUUAUUGGGCGUAAAGCGCGCGUAGGCGGUUUUUUAAGUCUGAUGUGAAAGCCCACGGCUCAACCGUGGAGGGUCAUUGGAAACUGGAAAACUUGAGUGCAGAAGAGGAAAGUGGAAUUCCAUGUGUAGCGGUGAAAUGCGCAGAGAUAUGGAGGAACACCAGUGGCGAAGGCGACUUUCUGGUCUGUAACUGACGCUGAUGUGCGAAAGCGUGGGGAUCAAACAGGAUUAGAUACCCUGGUAGUCCACGCCGUAAACGAUGAGUGCUAAGUGUUAGGGGGUUUCCGCCCCUUAGUGCUGCAGCUAACGCAUUAAGCACUCCGCCUGGGGAGUACGACCGCAAGGUUGAAACUCAAAGGAAUUGACGGGGACCCGCACAAGCGGUGGAGCAUGUGGUUUAAUUCGAAGCAACGCGAAGAACCUUACCAAAUCUUGACAUCCUUUGACAACUCUAGAGAUAGAGCCUUCCCCUUCGGGGGGCAAAGUGACAGGUGGUGCAUGGUUGUCGUCAGCUCGUGUCGUGAGAUGUUGGGUUAAGUCCCGCAACGAGCGCAACCCUUAAGCUUAGUUGCCAUCAUUAAGUUGGGCACUCUAAGUUGACUGCCGGUGACAAACC